CCUACGGGAGGCAGCAGUGAGGAAUAUUGGUCAAUGGACGAGAGUCUGAACCAGCCAAGUAGCGUGAAGGAUGACUGCCCUAUGGGUUGUAAACUUCUUUUAUAUGGGAAUAAAAUGUUCCACGUGUGGGAUUUUGUAUGUACCAUAUGAAUAAGGAUCGGCUAACUCCGUGCCAGCAGCCGCGGUAAUACGGAGGAUCCUAGCGUUAUCCGGAUUUAUUGGGUUUAAAGGGAGCGUAGGUGGAUUGUUAAGUCAGUUGUGAAAGUUUGCGGCUCAACCGUAAAAUUGCAGUUGAAACUGGCAGUCUUGAGUACAGUAGAGGUGGGCGGAAUUCGUGGUGUAGCGGUGAAAUGCUUAGAUAUCACGAAGAACUCCGAUUGCGAAGGCAGUUCACUGGACUGCAACUGACACUGAGGCUCGAAAGUGUGGGUAUCAAACAGGAUUAGAUACCCGAGUAGUC
RNAcentral lists this ribosomal RNA (460 nucleotides) under uncultured bacterium. RNAcentral describes it as "partial 16S ribosomal RNA". It matches the Rfam family "Bacterial small subunit ribosomal RNA", at positions 338 to 795 of the family's 1533-position model. The record is from RNAcentral.